GAUGAACGCUGGCGGCGUGCCUAAUACAUGCAAGUCGAGCGAACGGACGAGAAGCUUGCUUCUCUGAUGUUAGCGGCGGACGGGUGAGUAACACGUGGAUAACCUACCUAUAAGACUGGGAUAACUUCGGGAAACCGGAGCUAAUACCGGAUAAUAUUUUGAACCGCAUGGUUCAAAAGUGAAAGACGGUCUUGCUGUCACUUAUAGAUGGAUCCGCGCUGCAUUAGCUAGUUGGUAAGGUAACGGCUUACCAAGGCAACGAUGCAUAGCCGACCUGAGAGGGUGAUCGGCCACACUGGAACUGAGACACGGUCCAGACUCCUACGGGAGGCAGCAGUAGGGAAUCUUCCGCAAUGGGCGAAAGCCUGACGGAGCAACGCCGCGUGAGUGAUGAAGGUCUUCGGAUCGUAAAACUCUGUUAUUAGGGAAGAACAUAUGUGUAAGUAACUGUGCACAUCUUGACGGUACCUAAUCAGAAAGCCACGGCUAACUACGUGCCAGCAGCCGCGGUAAUACGUAGGUGGCAAGCGUUAUCCGGAAUUAUUGGGCGUAAAGCGCGCGUAGGCGGUUUUUUAAGUCUGAUGUGAAAGCCCACGGCGUCAACCGUGGAGGGUCAUUGGAAACUGGAAAACUUGAGUGCAGAAGAGGAAAGUGGAAUUCCAUGUGUAGCGGUGAAAUGCGCAGAGAUAUGGAGGAACACCAGUGGCGAAGGCGACUUUCUGGUCUGUAACUGACGCUGAUGUGCGAAAGCGUGGGGAUCGAACAGGAUUAGAUACCCUGGUAGUCCACGCCGUAAACGAUGAGUGCUAAGUGUUAGGGGGUUUCCGCCCCUUAGUGCUGCAGCUAACGCAUUAAGCACUCCGCCUGGGGAGUACGACCGCAAGGUUGAAACUCAAAGGAAUUGACGGGGACCCGCACAAGCGGUGGAGCAUGUGGUUUAAUUCGAAGCAACGCGAAGAACCUUACCAAAUCUUGACAUCCUUUGACAACUCUAGAGAUAGAGCCUUCCCCUUCGGGGGACAAAGUGACAGGUGGUGCAUGGUUGUCGUCAGCUCGUGUCGUGAGAUGUUGGGUUAAGUCCCGCAACGAGCGCAACCCUUAAGCUUAGUUGCCAUCAUUAAGUUGGGCACUCUAAGUUGACUGCCGGUGACAAACCGGAGGAAGGUGGGGAUGACGUCAAAUCAUCAUGCCCCUUAUGAUUUGGGCUACACACGUGCUACAAUGGACAAUACAAAGGGCAGCGAAACCGCGAGGUCAAGCAAAUCCCAUAAAGUUGUUCUCAGUUCGGAUUGUAGUCUGCAACUCGACUACAUGAAGCUGGAAUCGCUAGUAAUCGUAGAUCAGCAUGCUACGGUGAAUACGUUCCCGGGUCU
Molecule: ribosomal RNA, 1373 nt
Filed under: uncultured bacterium
Lineage: Bacteria
Description: bacterial SSU rRNA
Rfam family: Bacterial small subunit ribosomal RNA
Source: RNAcentral